Molecule: long non-coding RNA, 10446 nt
Filed under: Triticum aestivum (bread wheat)
Lineage: Eukaryota; Viridiplantae; Streptophyta; Magnoliopsida; Poales; Poaceae
Description: long non-coding RNA (TAES_LNC005074)
Source: RNAcentral
AAAUCUCAUUAGAAGUUCUAUCUAAAUGUUCCUACAAGGCAACCAAUUAGUCAGCCAGGGACAAAAAGGUUGCAAAAUACAGUGAGAUUGUCCCUUGUUACAAGUUACAUUUUCCCCAGGGUCCACAUGCAAGAACAACAUAAUUAGCAGCAGGUAAGACGUUCGUCUUAAGCAGCUUAAGAUAAAUGGCCAUUCAUGAUAUCUGCAUCACCCACCUAAAAGUACUCCCUCCGUUCCAAAAUAGAUGACCCAACUUUAUACUAAUUUGGGAAAAUAGAUGACCCAACUUUGUACUAACUUUGGGUACAAAUUAGUACAAAGUUGGGUCAUCUAUUUUGGAACGGAGAGAGUAAAAGUUAAGCUUAGGCCCGGGCUAAUACAGUGAGAUUGGGAACGAUGUAUAUUUGUACACCCGGAAAUAUCAGACAGGUGUAUUUUACUGUUCCUCUGAAGAACCUAGUAUUUAUUCUACAGUGGAAAGGUGUGGUUGCUCCCGGGACUGCACACAUCGUUAUCAUAGCCGUACAGCAUCACUGAGAUUCGGUCCCAGGUCUGACCAUUGCAGAAUAUUGGCAGGGCUCAACCGUUCAAGCUGGUCAUUUGACUCAGGUUAAUCACCUAGCAGCUAGGCGUCCCGAAGGCCAUAGACUCCGGACAGCAGCAUGCCGCCUAGCCAUGGUGUUGGAGGAGGAAAUCGACAUGCGAGGGAGUAGAAAUGGUCCUCUUCAGUCUGUUUUACAUCAUUAAAAAAUUGGAUGUGUUUGCUUUGGAGCCACACGAAGUUGGGGUCAAUGCUGCAGGAGGAUGAGGGUAUUGAUGAAGAUGUGAACCAUCGAAUCAAAGCUGGAUGGAUGAAGUGGCGUCAAGCUUCUGGCAUUCUCUGUGACAAGAGAGUGCCACUAAAGCUAAAAGGCCGGUUCUACAGGACGGCGGUUCGAUCCACAAUGUCGUAUGUAGCUGAGUGUUGGCCGACUAAAAGACAGACAUGUUCAACAGUUAGGUGUGACGGAGAUGUGUAUGUUGUGAUGGAUGUGUGGCCACACAAGGAAGGACCGAGUCCAGAAUGAUAUAUACGAGAGAAACUUGUCCAACAUCGUUUGAGAUGGUUUGGGCAUAUGCAGCACAGACCUCCAGAAACUCCAGUGCAUAGCAAACUGCUAAAGAGUGCGGAGAAUGUCAAGAGAGAGGUCGGGGUUGGCCGAAUUUGACAUGGGAAGAAUCCGUUAAGAGAGACCUGAAGGAUUGUAUCGCUAAAGAACUAGCUAUGGACAGAAGUGUGUAGAAGCUUACUAUUCAUGUGCCAAAACCGAGUUGGUCGCGAGAUCUUAUGGAUUUCAUCUCUAACCUACUCCAACUUAUUUGAGACUAAAGGCUUUGUUGUUGUUGUUGUUUGUUUGUUUGUUUGUUUUGGAGCCAGCGGUACUCGCCUCUGAUCAUUCUAGGACAAAAUUGGGUUUAGUGUCAAUUUCCUGACUUUUUUAUGAGUUCUUGAAAGCAUAAGAGAUACUCCCUCCGUACGAAAAUAUAAUGUGUUGUUUAACAUUCAUAGUGUCGAAAACGUCUUAUACUAAGUUAUAGAGGUAGCAUCAUUCUGCGGAUCCAGAUUAACUUGAUAACUUUCACUUUGAAAGAGUGAUGAACUAAUUCAUUUUUUUAGAGUGAAGAACCGUAGCAUUCCUCAGUGGCAUGAGGAAGUGAGCAUCAUUUCCACAUCAUACAAGUAUAUAGGUAUUUCGUGCUAAGCCUGAUGAGCAUAGUGUGCUGCUCCUAGUCUUCGAUAAAUGUCUCAUUAAAAACACUUACCGAGAUGUCCUAGUCCUAAAACGAUCACAUUAGAAGUUCUAUCUAAAUGGAAUAGUGGAGUGCUUCUAGUCUUCAAAAUAUUCCCUUCGUUCCUAAAUAUUAGUCUUUUUAGAGAUUCCAAUGGACUACAUAUGAAGCAAAAUAAGUGAAUAUAUAUUCUAAAAUAUGCCUAUAUACAUCCAUAUGUAGUACAUAUUGAAAUACCUAAAAGGACUUAUAUUUAGAAAAGGAGGGAGUAUAUCAUUAGAAACACCUACCUGGAUGUCCUAGUCUUUAAAAAAUCUCACUAGAAAUCAAAAAAGAAAUCUAACUAGAAGUCCUAUCUAAAUGCUCCUGCAAGGCAACCGAUUAGACAACGAGGGACAACGAGUUGCAAAAUACUGUGGGAUUUCCCCUUAGAUUGUCCAAAGGGUCGAGAGUGUACUCUCUCAAGCAUUGCUUGAUUAAUGCCAUCUCUAAAUAGGAACGUAAGGCAUCCGAAAAUCUGCGACAUAUAAGUUUAUUCCUCGGGCAGUAUAAAUAAUAUGUUCAUUGACAUCUCAAAACUAAUGGUCACCGCAAGAAAAAAAGUGUGUUGUCUCUACUCAAUGUGCCAAAAUGGAGCGGUUUUGAUUCGCCACGGUCUUAGUUGAUUGUUCUUAAAUAGCAUUCGUGUGAGCCAAUAGGAGUUAAUCUUGGCAAAAAAUUAGUUGAUGCCGCUUGCGAGGCAGAUUCAUCAGGUUGCACACGAGAUUACAAUUGCUGGAAUAUAACCGAUUAAUACUGCAGUAGAGGAACACUUGAAGCAACCCACGAGUUUCAUUCUCCAUAUAGAGAACAAUGCUCUAGGAUGAACAAAGCAAUUAUUACAUAGCUACUGCACUAGGUUACAUUUGCCGGCUCUGGCAAUGUUAGUUGGUUCCAUGUGGGAUGCCCAGGACAGAGUGACACGGUCACUGAACAUGCGUUAGUUGCAUGAUGGUAAUGAACGACCUGUAUGAAUGCAAAACUUUGAUCUAUUCCAGUUGUCAAAGAGAAGUGGUUUGAUGCACAUUCGAUCAAGCAAAAUCAAUCAUCGGGUGAUAGCAAUUUUGCCGAUGUCAUGGCACUGCGGCCAUCAUUCCACUCGCAAACCAUUUCUAAAAAGAGCUUGUGAAUGGAUAGCUCAUGCAAACUUUCUUUACGUUUUGGUGGUGCAACCUGCAAAACUUACUAAGUGGUUAAUGAUGCCAACCGCAAACCUUACUUCUAUUGGUGAAGGCAUUACUAAUAUUAGUGCCAUUGUGAGUUCGUAGCGGCUAUCUAUUAUUGUGCAUAUUUACAUUGAUCGGAUCCUCUCUCAUAGCCACUUUCACAUUCACAUACCUUCAUAAAAGAAUGGAUUCGCAUUCAUCUUGACAUCUUCUCUCUUCCUUUUGACACAUCAUCUUUUUUUAUUCAUCUCAUAUUAUUGUGCAUUCUCUUUCUUUUACAUUCUAGCUAAAGAUGAGAUGAAGAAUCCCAUAUUCUUAUUGUUCUAUCAUAUGUCUCACUUGUUCAGUGUGAAUCUGUGUCGUUAUAUGGUUAUAUACUAUCAAUGUAAUCUUGCUCAACUAGCCGAUCAAUGUAAUCUUGCUCAACUAGUACAGCUAGCAUGGGUAUAUGUACUAUCCUCUCCCCUGCUCAACUGAACUUAUAGCUAGAGACAAGAUGAAGGAUCUUGGAUCUUUAUCAACUAUUCAACCGCUCUAAUGGAAUAAGAUCACUCUAGUUUUCCUCUCAGCUGUUAUACUCAAAACACUAGUAGAAUGCCCGUGCGUUGCUACGGGCUAAGGGCGGUCUUCAAGAUCGAAGCUCAUUUCUCCCUCAUACGUCCGGGUAUGUUUGGAUAUCAAACAGGUGCUCAACGAGCUCCUCAAAAUUCAACCGUAUGGACAGUCCGGGCUUCCCCAAAUCCAGCCCAUAUGUGAUGAAGAAAUGUGGUUGUCCGGACAAUCUGCCAUGUUAACUACAACACGCGGUCCCAACACAAAAAACCCACCCCACGACGCAUCCUUCCCUUUUUGUAUGCUGGACCCACCUUUUUCGGCUCGGUUUUCCGCUGUAGCGGGACAUUUCUCGCUGGAGUCCUCUCCUUUAAAAUCGGGAUACACCCACCUCAUGUAUGCCAUGGCGCCAUCUCUCCUUCACAACGUACUUCCCAAAGGACAGCCAAGGAGGAGUCCCUGCCAACCGCCCCGCUCCGAUCCCUCCCCCCAUGUUUGUGUCUAUCCACCACCGCCAUCAAAGGGGAGGAGGCAUGCGCCACUCGUGACACCUCCGGAGUUAAGAAGGCGGAUCCAAUGUCUCCUGGGUCAUUGCCCGUACGUGUUGCAACACAUAAAUAUUCAAGUGCUUCAACACUGAUCAAGUUAAACAUGUACCUUGAGAUUCCUCGUGCCGCUCAUGCAUAUUACACCGCCUCCAUUGUAUCUAAGCCGCCCUACACAAGAGGUCAAGGCAUCAUAUACACCCGCCCUGUCCCCCGGCCUUGUCGUGGGCGUGAUAUUGCUCUAAUCUCUCGUCCCUCAAAUCUACCUCGUAUAUUAAAAUUAGUAAAUAUUUAUCAGAUGAUUUUUGUAGUGGAUUUUAAUCCUGAUCAGUAAUAUUUUCCUACAAAGACAGUUCUGGAUAUAGGAACAAAGCUACAUAAAAAUUACUUUGAGACGCUUCCAAUUCUAUAUGAUUACUAUCAUCCAUUUUUCAAAUGAGAACAUGUGACACCACCGCCACUGCUAACCACCAACUCCCAUUCAAAAUAUAGCUAGUAAAUAUUCCAUAAACUCAUGUCCUAGCAAAAGGAGAACCGGGAACAAUGAAAGAGCAAACUUAACGAAAAUAAGCUUGCACUUGCAUUUGGUUCAAUGUGCUAAUGAUAAAUGGGAUAACAAGCCAGCACCUUAAAAUUUUCUUUUAGACGUGAGCUGUUGUACAAAAUGCUAACCUAACCCCCAAUUAUAAUAAGAGUAUGAAAUUGGUUGACAAAUCCUCCCACUGCCCGACCUUAUUUUCCAAUGUACUCUACCACACAUGCACAAGAAUUUACAAUUUCCCAAACAAACUACCAUAACAUUUCAUGCUUGAGUUGUCCCAGCAUCACCGAAGUCUCGGUGAGGAAUUUGACAACAACCUCAUGAGGACAGACUGGCCCCUACCCAGCAAGGCAGCAACAAGCUAGGACAGGGAGAAGUCCAACAUCUCCUCCUUCGAGAAGCCCCCACCCUCCGAAUCAAGAAACUCCGUUCACCAUGUCCUUGUCCCUCUUUCCCUCCAUCUCGUCCUUCACCCCACUCUUCUCUCCUCUCUCAUCCAACCCCUUCCUUAUCAUAUUCCUCGGCGCUCCAUCCACCUUCUUCCUUGCCUAAAGCAAUUCGGAUAAUAGUAAAUUAUGGUAAUUGUGCAUCAACAUCAUAAUAGUUGUCCAACUAAGUCCAACAAGAUUCCCAAAACUGGAACAUAUUGCAUCAUACAAAUAGAUGCAUAAAACAACAGAAAUUGCAGACACCUGUAAAGACAAGACUCUAAGAAAUUAAUAGUGCCAAUACAUGUUAUGAUAACUACUACAUGAAUUCAACUUAAACUUGCAAGACAGGAAUGCAGGCUAUACACCGAACCUUUAUCAUCCUAUCGGCAUAACCAGUACAUAGCCAUUCAUUCCCAGAUCAAAUUUGUAGAUCAUACCCAUCCCAUGUGACAACUAAUGAUCUGCAUACAUGUAGGAAUACCAUCAAUAGAUAUCUGGAAAAUAAAUAUUGUAUUUUAUGAGAACUAAGAUGCUCUAAUGGACCAGUAUAAUUCCAAGCAAACAUGCAGAAGAAUAUUGAAGGUUUAAAGUUUUAGCGAGUAUAAAAUUUCAGCAUAUGGAUAUUAGAAUUGCAUGCAUGCUCAAAAUAAAUAAUUUUGUCAAUCCAAAAUAUAAUAUAUUGUUGCAUUGGUAACUGGCCGAUAGUUUGCUAUUAAUUCUUGACAUUCUUUAAAAAAAAUCUUGAUGUUUAAGUUUGUACAUGCCCAUUAUUAUAUCUGUAACGCUUAGUUCAAAACUUGAAAUUAACAUAUGCUUUUCUUUAAACAGAAUUAAUCAUAACAAAUGGAGUAAAACAAAUACCGUACCACCAGACCAAGAGUUUUCUUUUAUACAUAUUGGCAUAUUGACAUGCUCUGUUAUAAUGGAUGUGCAAAUAAGAUUUUUAUUUUUGCUGGUAUGCAACUAAUAUUCUAACCCACUGACCUAACUCAACUUAAGACAGGACAACAUCAUAGAGAAGGAAUGUCAACAAAACUCAAGUAACAAGUACUCGUAUUAUGUUAUGCAUCCAUCAGUACAGAAAGUUAUGAUUUACCUGUUAUUAACACAAUUACGUGAAGAAAAGAACAUGCUAAAGUUCUAUGCAUGUGUGUGUGUGUGUGUGUGUGUGUGUGUGUGUGUGUGUGUGUGUGUGUGUGUGUGUGUGUGUGUGUGUGGAAACUAACCAAAUUUAAAUGUGUAUUUCUGAACAAAUAUACUCACAUCACAAAUCCUUCGAUCCAAGUGUGUGAAUUCCAUCCGUUCAAACCUGCGAUAAGAGAAAUUGAAAAGGAGAGACAUGUCACCUGCAUCCAAUUAGCGUAUAGAACAUCACGAUAUCAUUACAUCACCUUUGUGGGGCCUUGAUCAAUGCUUCAUUCUUAAACAUUACAGCAAAAACAAAUGCAUAUGAAAGCUAGAAAUUGUUCUACUUUUUUUCAUGAUAGGGACUACCACACAAAUUCUUUGAGAUGUGGGACGGUAAGAAUUGGAGCAGAGAAACGUUGAUGUAGUAGGUCCUAAGCCAUGUUGUAACACCUAGAAACAAAUAUCUAACCUAGCUAAGCAAAAAAAUUAAAAAUCAAGGAAAACAUAACAGACUAAAAAUAUCUACCCUAGCUAAGCAAUAAAAAAAUUAGAGGGAAACAUAACAGACUAAACAGAACCCUAACAGGUAACUCUACAAAUAUUCACCUGGCAUACGUUAUCUCAUUCCAACAAAUAUUGGAGUUACCUGUUACUGUAUUUGGCAAGCAAUUUCACUUUUAAGGAACUGUAACUUCUUGUUUUUCAGAUGAUCCAUUCAUAGACUUUUUUCCUCAGUAAGAGGCCAACUUCAGUAAGGUUCAAAAAUAGAUAUUUUGGAAAGUCUAUGAAACACCUGAGUUAGACUCAAAUAAGGAAUUGAAACUGCAAUUGUAAAGACCAAGCUGCCAUUUUUUUUUGUUCUCAUUCCAGCCAUUUCAACUCUCAUCUUCUGAAACUCAGCCCACAUCCUACAAAUAAAGAUGUUCAACAAAUAAUGGUGCAAGACAAAGCAUUCUGAUUACUAUAAUGAAAACAACUCCAAUGAUAUUUUUUUUUUACAUUUUCUGUGAUAUUAUACCUGACCUGAUCAUCAUAUUAGCAUUUUUAUCACCUAAACUUCAAGCUAUUACUUGACAUCUUAUGAAUUAAAUGGUAGCUCCAAGGAAGAUAUCUUUGGCUUUGCCGUGCUCGCUCAACUUCCCCCUGCCAUGCAUGUAUCUGCUUAACAAAAGCACAACAGUACAACGUAUUUGUAGAUAAAUAAAUACAGAUACACAAUCAUUGAUAUGGUAGCGGAUCAUGUGGGGGUGGCGCAGAUCACGUGCAGCAUUAUAUAAUCGGUUGAAUUUGGAGCUCAGUGCCGUUCAAUCUGGGCUGCUUGCUGGUCUGGCGUCAGUGAGCUCGUGGAUAUAGCAGACUAACAGUUAGAAUAAAAUGCGUUCUUUGGUUCAUGUAGAUGUACCCGAUGGUAGCAGCCAAUGAGGGUUCUGGCACAGCAUCGUGCACGGCGUUCCCGCGCCAUUGGCAUCGGCGCACUCGGCGGCGAUCUCGAAGGCCGACUUGCCGGACCCCACGACGGUGAUGCGCUUCCCCUUAACCAGCGCGGCGGCGUCCUCGUCGGCCAUGUGGGAGAGCUCCAUGCAGUGGAGCACCCGCCCGCGGAACGCCUCCGGGCCUGGGGACACCGCUGGGAUGUUGGGCACGCCGCUGAAACUGCCGAUGCAGAGGAUCAGGAAGUCGGACUCAUGCACCUCCUCCGUCUCCGGCUCCUGCUCGCCGGCGCCGCGGUGGCCCAUAGUGAGGCGCCACACGCUCGACCCGUCGCCGAAGGCCUCGCCGUUGCCGUUCCACCUCUCCCACCGGUCCGCCGCGCCCUCCGGCUCCGCAUCGACGUACUCCACGGCGACGACCCGGCUCCGGAACCCGACCUGGGAGAGGGGCACGAGAUUUGUGGGUAGAUAAGGAAGGGCAGGGGCCUUGAUCGUGAGGAAAAUUUGAGCGAGGAACAGAAGCUGGAAAAAAAUCCUGGUAUAAUUGGAAGGAAAUAAACGAAUGCGGGAGGGAGCAUCUGUAUGGAAAGAAUCGUGGGAGGGGAGGGUGAAAAGAUUGGUGUUUAUGGAAGCUUUUUGUUAUGAAAAUAUUCGAUAUGAUUUGAUCCCUCUGGUAUAUGGAAGGGAAGGAUGGAACGAUUGGUGUUUUAUAUGGAAGGGUGGGAUCGAUGGAAGGAUGGAAGGGUUCAUUUGGUUUUUCUAGGCAUGGGGCGUGUGGUUCCGAUGAUGCAUGAAUGAAAACCAGUUUUGGUUUUCAGAGGGAGGAAAAAAAUCGGUGGGAGGGAGAUCGCCUGGUGGGGAGAGAUCGUUGGAAGGCUAGAAACGAACGACUUACGUACUGAGACAUUAGGAGUAGAGACAGAUUUGGGAAUGAGAGGCACAAGGAAUACUUGAGAAAGCAGCAAGAGAAAUUCUUGCUUUGGUUUUAGUCUGUUUUGUCUAUGUUUUUUUAUGUGUUUGGUCUUAGGGUCUGCAAUACUGCAUCAGCUGGGGUAGAAGCAGAACAUUACACAGUUCUAGGGCAAAACAGGGUUUCAUGCCAAAUUGACCAUCUUUACAAGUUCUUGAAAACGCAAGACAUGUCAUUCUACGAAUACAGAUUAACCUGGUAACUUUCACUUUGAAUAAAGCACAGGCAGCGGUGAAUUAAUUAGUUUUAUCAUCAGCACAAGGAACAUAGCUUCAUUUCCAUAUCAUACAAUGACUUUUUUUUACUACAAACUCAUGCUACAUCAAUGACUUUACCACAGGCCUGGUCAGCAUAAUGGACUGCUCCUAGUCUUUGAUAAAUGUCUCGUUAAAGAGACCUACACAGAUGUCCUGAAUUUUAAAAGAAUCCCAUCAGAAGCCCUAUCUAAAGAAAAUGGCGGAGUGCUCCUAGUCUUAAAAAUUAUCUCAUCACAAACAAACUUCCCAGAUGUUCUAACCUUUAAGAAAAUCACAUUAGAAGUCCUACCUAAAAGAAAUAGCUGGCUGCUCUUACUCUUACGAAUUAUCUCAUCAAAAAACACCUAUUCAGAUUUCCUAAUCUUAAGAGAGAAAAUCUCAUUAGAAGUCCUAUCUAAAUGUUCCUACAAGGCAACCAAUUUAGUCAGUGAGGGACAAAAAAGUUGCAAAAUACAGUUCGAUUGUCCCAUGUUACAAGUUACAUUUUCCACAAGGUCCACACUGCAAGAACAGCAUAAUUAGCAGCAGGCAAGACCCUAAUCUGAAGCACCUUCAAAUAAACAGCCAUUCAUGAUAUCUGCAUCACCAACAUAAAAGUAAGAGUUAGAGUCUGGGAUUAUCACAGAUGCAAACAAAAGCCUAUUGUUUGCCAAUGUUGCUCCUCAUUGGUGUUCGUAAAAAUGGAUAAUAAUUGCGAAGCUUAUACAGGGUGCAGACCAUUAAAGAGUUGCAAAUGGCAUACAAUGAUUUCGAAAGAAACAUCACCGAGUAAACUGCGAGCGAUUUUUUUAAUAGUUCAUUGUGUUCCAAUUAAUCACCAUAUGGUAUGGUCAAAGUGUUGGUAAACUGAAAACAAUAUACGACUAGUGACUACAUUAUGAAUUUAUGGUGCAAGUCAGGCCUAACCAGAUCCUGCCAUAUAGUAGUAAAGAAAGUCAGCAAGCCCAUCAUGACUGAUAUAUUAAUACCACUAGAUAUGCCAAUCAAAGGAAAUAUCUAAGUAAACUUCUCAAGUUAAGUGAGACUUAAGAAAUGAAAUUGGCCCAGGUCCAAAACUGACAGUGGACAUAAAGGAAUGUCAGUGCAAUCGUCCCUAACAUCACAUACUGUACAUAUGCAGAUAAAAUCAAAUGAGACUAAUAUUUACAAAGGCGGGCAAAAGGCAGAUCCUAUUCUCUUGAAUGACUAAUAAAUAAUUCACCAAAGGUUAAAAUAUUCAUCAUUUAGGCUCCAAACAACAAAAUAAAACUCUUAGGUUGACUUAAAAACAGAAGCUCACUAUGCAGCUUAAAUCUGAAACAUUUCAAUUCAUGUUUCACCAAAAGACAAAGAAUUAAGAAAAGCAAUACAAAAUAAUCAAUAUAUGCAUCUACCCAACAACAAAUAUUUGUUCAAGAAGCACGUACCAAUUGAUCUGUAGCAGGUCUGGUGACAGAAACCUUUUGAGCCUCCUUCUAACAGAAUAUGACAUUGAUUGACAAUAGAAGUAAGAAGAAAACUGUAGCUAACUAAGUCCAUUACCCAUCUCAUCGGUUUUGGAACUCUUAUGCUGCCACAGAUAAGUCAUGUUAACAGACCAACAAAAUGUGCUGCAAGGAAAUUUGUUGUACCAGGAAG